AUGCCCCUAAGCUUUACAAGACUCCAGAAAAUUCACUAUCAACCUAUCUUUGACAAGCUCAAGCGGAACACCUCUGGAUGGAUCAAAUUAAUGCUACCCACUGCUGGCAGACUUGCCUUGAUCACCUCGGUUUUAUAUGCUCUGCCUAUCUUUCAGAUUUUGGCCAUUGAGCCCCCUAAGUGGGUGGUAAAAAAGUUUAACAAGGGCUGCAGAGGAUUCCUUUGGGCAAAUAAAGAUGAGGCAACUGGUGGCAAAUGUCUAGUCAAUUGGAAUCAGGUGUGCUUGCCCAAGAAACUUGGGGGGCUCGGAAUCCCUUGUUUAACCCGAAAGAGUGAGGCAAUGAGAUGCAGAUGGCUUUGGCUGUCGUGGAUGGAACCUGAUAGGCCUUGGCACGGCUUACCUCUA
RNAcentral lists this ribosomal RNA (405 nucleotides) under Triticum aestivum (bread wheat). RNAcentral describes it as "partial small subunit ribosomal RNA". The record is from RNAcentral. Lineage: Eukaryota; Viridiplantae; Streptophyta; Magnoliopsida; Poales; Poaceae.